RNAcentral lists this ribosomal RNA (433 nucleotides) under uncultured bacterium. RNAcentral describes it as "bacterial SSU rRNA". It matches the Rfam family "Bacterial small subunit ribosomal RNA", at positions 340 to 786 of the family's 1533-position model. The record is from RNAcentral.
UACGGAAGGCAGCAGUGGGGGAAUAUUGGACAAUGGGCGAAAGCCUGAUCCAGCCAUGCCGCAUGAGUGAAGAAGGCCUUCGGGUUGUAAAGCUCUUUUAGUGAGAAAGAUAAUGACGGUACUCACAGAAGAAGUCCUGGCUAACUCCGUGCCAGCAGCCGCGGUAAUACGGAGAGGGCUAGCGUUAUUCGGAAUUAUUGGGCGUAAAGAGCGCGUAGGCUGAUUAGUAAGUUAAAAGUGAAAUCCCAAAGCUUAACUUUGGAAUUGCUUUUUAAAACUGCUAGUCUAGAGAUUGAAAGAGGAUAGAGGAAUUCCUAGUGUAGAGGUGAAAUUCGUAAAUAUUAGGAGGAACACCAGUGGCGAAGGCGUCUAUCUGGUUCAAAUCUGACGCUGAGGCGCGAAGGGCGUGGGGAGCAAACAGGGAUUAGAUACC